RNAcentral lists this ribosomal RNA (207 nucleotides) under uncultured bacterium. Its description in RNAcentral is "partial 16S ribosomal RNA". It matches the Rfam family "Bacterial small subunit ribosomal RNA", at positions 568 to 774 of the family's 1533-position model. The record is from RNAcentral.
UGUGUAGGCGGAUUGCUAAGUACCUUGUGAAAUCCCACGGCUUAACCGUGGAACUGCUUGGUAUACUGGCUGUCUUGAGCCACUUAGGGGCGACCGGAACAAACGGUGGAGCGGUGAAAUGCGUAGAUAUCGUUUGGAACGCCAAAGGUGAAAACAGGUCGCUGGGAGUGUGCUGACGCUGAGACACGAAAGCCAGGGGAGCAAACG